GAGAGAGGGAAAUGUCACCCGGAGCCCGGGCCCGCGGGGGAGAGGUGGCGCGUUAGAGAUGUGUGUGGGAGAGAGGGAGCGAGAGAGAGAGAGAGAGAGAGAGGGGGAGCGAGACCUCCGCUGGCCCCGCGAACUUGUCAAGGUUCUUCUCCUCAGAGAGUGCCGUAAAUUGUCAGAAAAUCUCCUCAUACACAGAAGAGUGACCAAGUGGUCUUCUCCACAGCAGCCAUGAACUUCAACCUUGAACUGAAGAAGACUCAUCAAAUGGAAAGACAGUAUGGAGCUGGAAGAGAAGCAGGGAUCUUCAUGAAGGGCAGUCAGUUAUAGUUAUGGUGUGUGGAGGAACAGGUCCUGUUCUUGCUGUUGUUACUCCCACAUAGGCAGACUCUGUAAUUGAUUAUGUGUGGGUAGGGCCCUAUUGAAAUUCAGGAGAUUCUGCAGUAGUGUGGGGUUCUUAUUGUGAAAGUUCAGUUGCAAGAUCAGGACCCUACUGUGACUACUUACUGUGCGUUCUGUCACUGUCUCAUUGAUUGUACUGGAACCUGCCUAUUGGGAUAAUUACCAAAUACUAUAUUCCUCAAAACUUCUUAAUGGCACUGAGGCUUUGUGGAUAGUUGGUCACAUGAUGAGAAAAUUCAGCUGUGAUUCACCAUGGGACCCUGAAGUUCUUCCUUACUGCAAUUAGACUGCCGGAGUUCAUGAUUCCUGAGAAGUAACACCUUGAAGUUCUGGCACUAUCUUCUACAAAGUAGCUUACACUGAGCUGGCUUCCUGUUACUGUGUCAAUGAAACAUCAAAUGUUGAUACUAUGUGUGAAACAACAUUUGAUAUUAUGGCUAUUAAGCUACUUGAAAAAAUUCUAUACAGAUGGUUUUUAUGUUUACAAGACCUUGCAUUUAAAAAUGUAUGUCAUGGAUGCAGGUAAUAAAUAUUGUUUAUGAAUUGUUACAGGAUAGAAAAUACUUAUAAUUGUGUAAAAUAUGUUAGUCUUAGCUCUUGCUAUUUUUAUCUCCUAAAUAUCUUAUAAUAAGGUGGUUAUAAAUAUCUAAAGAUAUGAAUCAUUUAAUUUGUUGAAGCACAGUGUGCGUCAUUUAGAAUGGUGGUAAAGGAGAAAAGUGGACAUGCCCUUCUCAUAACAGCUAAACAUGAAAAGAAGUUAUCAGAGAUAAUGAUAUAAUUCAAAUUUAUAGAAAUUGUUAUGUUUUGCUGUAUAAGCAUAGCUCUUUACAAAAUGAUGAUCUCAUCCUAAGGUUACAGUUACCUAAAUAGAUUCAUUGCUGAACUUUAUUCUAGUGUUUUUAUAUCUUUGCUGGAAGUAAGAGAACACAAACAUUUAAAAUUUAAAUUAUUGAUCUUCAGCCAUGCUACAACUUUCAGAACUUAGUGUUUAACCCCAGGAUUUGAUCCAUAGCUCUUUUAAAUUCUGGAAUUCCAGAAACUGUUCAGGUGAGUAGGAAAAAGCAUAGAAAGAAACUGAAAUGGGGAGAAGGAAAUCAUUAUCCUUUACAAAAGAAAAGAUGAAAAAAAGUUAAUGAGCAUAGGAAAAAUAAUAGGGUGAAAGAGAGGAUUCAGGUGAGUACUUCCAGUAAUAUUUUUUAUAUUGUGCUCAGAUAUGUUAUGCUUUGUGCUUACAUGGAAAACAGACUGAGACUUCAGCUUUCUAACUGCUGUUCUGAGCUGUACUUUACUCCCUGUGCAUUUUUAUUUUAGCACAGUCGCUUCUAAGGAAGGCUUUAAAUUGGCUUUCAGGGCCAACCUGAAUCACACAGUUCAUUAUCCUGCUGAAAUGAUGACUACCCCAAUGUUUGUCUUCCCAAGUUAGUAUUAAAAACCUGCUAUUAGACAUGAAAAAAAUCAGAGCCAUUUUAAAAAUAUAUGUUACUCUUAAUUCUAGUCACUAGCAUUUGGGAAAAGGGACAAGCAGGCACUCAGUAACAGUAAAGAGUGUCAGAAUUUCUAUGGGAAACCUAAUUGUAAUAAUAUUGAAAUUGAAAAUAAAACCUGCUAAUUAGAUGUUACUCAGCAGGAUUAGGAAAAGUCAAUCAAUUCAUAACCAAAUGUAGCUGUAGAACAAUGGAUUACUUACCUUGGCACUCAUUACAGGUUAGACAUCAGUGUGGAUUUCAUCCAUAAGCUGUAAUAAAAUAAAAUAAGUUAGGAAAUUGCAAAAAAAAAAGGUUCAUUCAGUAAUUUGUCCAUAGAUGUUCUUAGUUUCUGCAUGAUUUCCAUAAGUAUAUACAGUAUUAUAGCAAGAGUAUAUAUUUAGGGAAAUCCUAUACUUUUUAAACUAAGCAAUUAACAAAUAUUCAUACAGUGACUAUAACUGGUUUCAUGAAUUACCACGCAAAAAACCCAUUUUACUACAGGGAUAAGGAUCUCCCAUUUUUUGUACAUUCAUGCAGUGGUAUGCAUAAAACAUUUUAACUGUUCACCUGAGCAACACUUCAGUGUAACUGAGCCCUGAGCUGGUGGAUGGCAGAAUAACAUCCUCUCUAAAAGGGGACAGAGAGUGAAAAUGGGUGGGGCAGGGAGAGGUCUUAUGGUGCCAGUUCACAAUUAAUUUUGGAAUGGUAGCAUCUACUUUUUGGAAUGUAGUGUAUUAAUUUCUGCUGAUAGAGAUAGGUCAGCAUAAGAACUAUGCUAUAAAUUGCUGUGUGAUAGGGUUCCCAUUCCUAUGCCAUGUUUGUGUCACUGGACAGCAGUUUUUAAGGGCACCCAGUAAAGAUAUGAAUACCAAAAAAUUAACAUAACUAUACUCUUCAGUUUAAAAAGAAAAUGAAAUUAAAUACAGAUAGAAUUUUUAGAAGUUCUAAAUAAGAGACUUUUUGGUCUAUUUUAUGGUUAAGCCCUUGCCAUUUUGUUGUUUUGUAUUCAUGUUACACUAUUUAAUGUUGCAUGAUUGGUUUAGAUCAUGUAAAUCCCAUUUCAAGUAUAUUUAAAUUUUAAAGACGUCUUUUUAAUUGCAUUGUAACUGGCAACUCUGUGUUGUCCUCAUGUAAUAGGCAGUAUCAAGAUGAGUGUAUUCUGAAAUAGUUAAUAGUGGAAGACCACUCCAAUCCCAGCACUAUGUCUCUCAGAUUUUCCAUAUUGACAAGGAAGAACCAACAGUGAGUGGUCCAUUUGGUACCUUCCAGCCCCCAGAUCACUGCCCAGGAGGAAAGUCACUUUCCCAUUCCCUUCUCUGAUCAUUUAUGCUUUGGUACUGCUGUUCUGUAAGGACACAGUCUUGGCUUUGCAUCUGGGCUGGCAAGCUGGUGAAGGUGGUAUGAAGAGGUUGUUUCCACAGACCAGUUCCACACUGAAGUUUCCUGCACACACUGGGCUGUAUACCAACUUUAAAACCAGACCUUCCCCAUGACUCUUUUAUUUAAUUAUAGUUAGUUUAAAAUAACUAUUAUGUCUCCAUGACCAUGACAUUGGAUUUCAGCAUUUUUUCACAGCAGUAUUUACUGUAUUUAGUAACAAAUUACUGAAAUAUCAGCCAUGCUAUUUUAAGAAUGAGUUAAAUGUGAUAUUUAAUUAAUUGUGUCUUAAAGUUUGGAAUAGAGAAUCCCAGUAAUAUUAAGCUUAAAUUUUUAAUUACAGCAGAUAAACUUAAAGCCCAAUAGUAUAUAAUUAGUUCUAACAGAAAAGCAAACUUCCUUUUAUUUGGGUCAGACUUAAUUUUUGUGCUCAGUGUAGUGCACACAAGUACUGCUCAGUAAUAAAAAAUAUUAUGCAGCACAGACCUAUUACAUGUUCUGUGCAGAUGAAAGUCAUUAGUAAAGUUUCCUUGUUCAGAUUAAAGGAAGUUGAAAAUAUGCUGAAUCACUUAUUAUUUUAAUCCAGAUGUUUUUAUCCAUAAAUAUUAAUCUCAAAGAUAAAAUGCUAGCUUAAUAAAUACUAGUAAACUUCACAAAAUUAAUUACAUUUUAAAUAUGUGAUUCAGAGUCUAGUAUUCAAAUCUUAGGAUGGGAUGAAUCGCCCUCUGGAGGUGCCCAUUUUAGUUUGCUGACUUCACAGGACUCCUGCUCUGAAGUGACUAGUUCAAACUAAAAGUUGACUGGCCUAUCACCUUCAUUGAGAAAUAACUGAACAUUUCGUACCCCAGUAGAUCUUGUCGUUAGACCUCUCUAAGAAUGGCUGCCUUAUUCCUCACCUUUUCUGUCAGUGUUCUUGUACUGUUUCUAAUAUGAAUAAACACAAGUGUUACUGCUACCAUUUCCUGUAUAUUGUUUUUUCCUGUCCUUUUCAAUCUUGUUAUCUUAUCUUUCCCUGUUUUUUUUUUCUUUUUUUUUUUUUUUGUUUUAUUUUUCUUGACUCUCUACAGCUGCCAUCUUUUCUGAAGCUUUUCAUUUGCUACCUCUCUGACAAUCCUACUUUCCAUGUUGAAAGUAUUAUCCUAACUUCUGAUGUGGAAGAUUGCCGGCCCUUUCUUUGAAUGCUGAUACCAGUAUUUUCUUGACUAAUAGUAUUGUAAUGAAGACAUAGAAAAAGAAGACUAUGGUACUCAUGAGGUUUUUUAUGGUUUGUGUAGUCAAAAAAUAUUGUUUUUAUGCCUUCAUAUAAAAUGUGUUGGUUUCCCAAUGUAACUGUAACUUAAAGAUGUUUGUAGAAAUGUAAAAUUAAAUGUGAAUAGUAUAAAAUCCACAUUAAAGACAUAAAAGUU
This is a long non-coding RNA of Taeniopygia guttata (zebra finch), 4648 nucleotides long. The record is from Ensembl. Lineage: Eukaryota; Metazoa; Chordata; Aves; Passeriformes; Estrildidae.